This 468-nucleotide ribosomal RNA is filed under the name uncultured bacterium. RNAcentral's name for it is "partial 16S ribosomal RNA". It matches the Rfam family "Bacterial small subunit ribosomal RNA", at positions 28 to 507 of the family's 1533-position model. The record is from RNAcentral.
GACGAACGCUGGCGGCGUGCUUAACACAUGCAAGUCGAACGGAAAGGCCUUCAGCUUGCUGCGUGUACUCGAGUGGCGAACGGGUGAGUAACACGUGGGUGAUCUGCCUUGCACUUCGGGAUAAGCUUGGGGAACUGGGUCUAAUACCGGAUAGGACAGCUGUUUAGUGUCAGUUGUGGAAAGUUGUUUCGGUGCAAGAUGAGCUCGCGGCCUAUCAGCUUGUUGGUGGGGUAAUGGCCUACCAAGGCGUCGACGGGUAGCCGGCCUGAGAGGGUGUACGGCCACAUUGGGACUGAGAUACGGCCCAGACUCCUACGGGAGGCAGAAGUGGGGAAUAUUGCACAAUGGGCGGAAGCCUGAUGCAGAGACGCCGCGUGGGGGAUGAAGGCCUUCGGGUUGUAAACUCCUUUCGACAGGGACGAAGCUUUUGUGACGGUACCUGUAUAAGAAGCACCGGCUAACUACGUG